RNAcentral lists this long non-coding RNA (3408 nucleotides) under Homo sapiens (human). RNAcentral describes it as "HSALNT0379054". The record is from RNAcentral. Lineage: Eukaryota; Metazoa; Chordata; Mammalia; Primates; Hominidae.
UUCUGGUACCUUUAACACCUGUAGCUCCCUGCCUGGCUCAGUUUACUUCUGGGUUCAGCUGCCUGCCAAGACGCCAGGUGACAAUCGGGGCUCUCCAAGGCCGCUCCUGCCAUUGUCUCCAGCUGUGGGGCCCAAGAAACCACACACGUGAGAUGCACAGUCUGAUAUGGCCGGCUCUGCCCCUCUGGGUUUUAUAUCUUUUCAAAGUGAUUCAUUGAAAGCUGUGGCUGUUGUCAGCUGGGUGCUGGGAGCACUGAACAAAUUCCCUGCCUAGGUUGUGUAGACAACGUGGGGAAUGGGAGACCCUUGGGAUCCUGAUGGUCUCGCCAGGCCUACUGAGACAAGUGUCCAGUGCCAUCGGACCUGUGCUCAUGCAGUUACUUACUACCAUGUGAAUCUGACCAUCAAAAUUCUUCCUACAUUUCAAUUCCCCCAACUCUAAAAUGAGGAGGUUGGGCUUGAUACCAUCUCAGAACUCUUCCAGCUAUAAACUGCAAACCAAUCAGAGACCUGAUUGAUAAAUGCUACACGUGUACAUCUCAUUGAGCUCAAGGACAGAGCUUCCCCUCUCCUCACUGUCUGCAGUGCCUGGUCCAGGCAGGACCUGCCAUCAAGUCAAUGCUGAAAAUGUUGGCCACACAAAAACAUCUGCACCGUCGGAAGGAACAGAAGCUCCAGAACAAUGCCUGGGCUUCAAGAUCCAAUGGAACUUUGUCAGUUGAACGCCAGUCUUGAAUCCAGGUCUUCUUGCUUCCAAAUGUGGUCCUCUGCUGUCUCAUCAGCCUCUUGGGGCCUCACGCUGGGCUCCAGUUCGGGGUGUGAGGAGACGCCAAAUGCUUCUCAGAAUGGCCUAUCUGGGAUCUCGCCCAGUGCCUUUCUCCCUCCUCUUGCUAUUUUUCGUGUCUUUUCUCUUCCCCCUCUCCCUGUGUCGGGCGUGUUUACUUGCAGCAGCCAGAAAGACCACCUUCCACCCGCCCUCUCUUCGGUUCAGCUGCACCUCUCUACUCCAAUAAACCGUUUGCAUUCCAUCUGGUGAGCGUUUGCUCUGAAGACAUUUCCUUGUCAAUCUCUCCCGCCACAUUAAAAAUCUGUCAUUACGAUUGCAUCGCCGCCUGGCUCCUGAGAUUUCUGACUGCUUUAUUGCUCUCCUCAUUUUUUUCUCUUGCCUGCUACAGCCGAGAAGCAGAAAUAAAGGUUUGUUGUUGAAACAUGGCCGGGAGGAAAGUAGGAGGCACACAUCUGUCAAGACAUUACCUUUCUUCAACCAGGGAUUAAGGUGUUUUACGGCACUCGCUACUGAGCAGUCACACUGAAUAAAUUUUCUCAGUAGAACAUAAAAAUGAACUCAUACAUUUUGAACCAAGUUUCUUCUUUCCAGCCAGCCCCGAUCAUUAUGCAGUGGCACCCGCAUACAGGGGCGCCAGCGAGUUAGGAAGUUUCUCAGACCCAUCCCACCUCCCGCCAAAGCUGCAUUAUUUAAAUGCCCGUUGAGGCGAAGGAAGCAUCGGGAUUAAGGGGAGAUGGUGGCUGUGAACACUCAGGCUUCCUCAGCUUGUGGGAGAGAACAGAAAGAUUUAAAAGAAACCUGGCCCCAGGUGUCCUCACUCAGGCCUGGCAAUGCCCGAUCUUGCUUUAAGAGCCGGAUCAAAUCCCUUUCUGUGGGGAGUGGCCCCUGGUUCCUCCACCAUCCUGUCCCCUCCUCCCUGCCCUGUAGGAGCACUUAUGUGACAACUGCCUGUUUCACAGCCCAUCCUCCUACUUUCUUCUCUAUCCCGGAACCUCAUGCUUACAAGACUUUACAGUGGCUAUUAAGAGCGAUGUAACCAUAAUAUUUUGGAGGGCUUUGUUUUGCAUUCUAAACUUUGUACAUGGAUUAGCCCAUUUAGACUUCCCAGCCACCCAUUAAAGUAGGUCAUUCUGCUCUCAUCUUAUAGAUGAGGAAACUGGGAUAGAAAGUCGUGUUAAGCACCUUGCAGAAAGUCAAAGAGCUAGCCAGGGACAGACCUAGGAUUUGAACCCAGCAUCAGAACCCCUACUUCUAAGACCAGCAGUCUGUUGUUAAGUGCUGUGCUAUUCUGCCAAGGGCAUAGGGCAUGGGGACAGAGGAGUUUAGGAAAGGCUUUGAAACAACUUUCUGGCACAGCAGCGUCUUGGUAAUGAGCAAAGGUGCCUGGGAGCGCUAUCUUGUCCUGGUACCCUCUGCCCUGGGGGCUGCCACAGCCCCACCCAAAGUUACAGAGCAACAGGAUUGGUGACCUGGGCUGAUGCUGCAUCUGAACUCCCUUUGUGACUUUCUCCACUAUUUCUCUCUCUCUCUCUCUUUCACACACACACACACACACACACACACACAUACACACAAUGUCCUCUCCACCUUUCUGACUAUGCUAUUCUCUCUACCUGGAAUCCUGAAAUUCUCUCUAUUAUUUUUUUAAAGGUAGGGAAAACUAUUCAUCCUUCAAAACCUUUUACUUUCUGUGAAAUCUUUCUUUACCCUUCAAGAAUAAAAUACAGACUCCCCACAACAACAACAACAAAAACAACACCCCGCGUGUCUUUUCUCAUCCCUGAGUAAUGGCACCCACCGAGUUGUAUUAUACAGGAUCUGUUUUCAGGUCAGUCUCCCCGAUAACCAUCACAAAAUUCAGCACCCCGAUACACACUGAGCCCUUAGUAAUCUUCAUAAUAACCCUAAGAGAUAGCUCUGCUCUCAUCUCUUAAACUGAAGACCUUCUGUUUAGCACCUCAAUACCAUUGUGUUCUCUGGAUGGCCUAAUGGAACCAGCAGUGCAGUGAGGUCUGGGAGCAAGACUUGGGGAUCUGGAGAUUGCCUGGAAUUGAGGGCUGGAAGCUGGUUGUGGUUUCUAUGGUUUCUAAGAGCUGCCCUUGAACCAUGCAUCCAGACACCCUCAAGGCAGGGCUUGCAGGAGGCACCUCCUUAUCACCAGACCUAGGCUCAGGACCUGGCAGAUAGUGCCCGCAGGGAAAGAAACUCUGCUUUGCUACCAGAAACCUACUUCUAAGACCAGGCUUGGUUUUCCUGGAUGGCCUUGCUGCUUGCAUUGCUUAUAAUGGUAAAAGUCUGAAAGCAGCCGGGAUGUUCAGCUAAACAGGAAUCCCUAUGAUAAUCCAGUCAUGCAAAAGAGCCCUAUGCAAUCGUGAAGAAAAAUGAGGUCACUCUAAAUGUGCUGAUACAGAAGAGUUAACAAAAUUAACUAUUGUUAGCUGAAUAAAAAGCAAGAGGCAGAACAGCGUAUCACACAAAGAGACAAACAUGCAUGAUAACAUGUAGACUACUCCUGAAAGAAUGAAUAAAAACCAGUGGUCAUCCCCAAAACAAAAAAUAAUUUUUCUUGUCUAUCCAUUUUAUGUAGUUUGAAUUUUUGGCAAUGUGUAGGUCUUAUUUGC